GGAUGAACGUUGGCGACGUGCCUACCCCAUGCAAGUCGAGCGGAGAAGAAGAGAGUGAACUUUUCGGAGUGAACUUUUUUCGGAUCAGCGGCGGACGGGUGAGUAAUACAUGAGGAACCUGCCCUCUACAAGGGGAUAGCCGGGGGAAACCGCGAUUAAUACCCUAUGAGACCACGAAAGCGCAUGCUUUUGAGGUUAAAGAUUUAUCGGUAGAAGAUGGCCUCAUGACCCAUUAGCUAGUUGGUGAUUUAACAGACCACCAAGGCGACGAUGGGUAGCCGGCUUGAGAGAGUGAACGGCCACAUUGGAACUGAGACACGGUCCAGACUCCUACGGGAGGCAGCAGUGGGGAAUAUUGCACAAUGGGGGAAACCCUGAUGCAGCGACGUCGCGUGAGCGAAGAAGGCCUUCGGGUCGUAAAGCUCUGUCCUAUGGGAAGAAAAGGACGGUACCAUAGAAGGAAGCCCCGGCUAACUACGUG
RNAcentral lists this ribosomal RNA (481 nucleotides) under uncultured bacterium. Its description in RNAcentral is "partial 16S ribosomal RNA". It matches the Rfam family "Bacterial small subunit ribosomal RNA", at positions 27 to 507 of the family's 1533-position model. The record is from RNAcentral.